Long non-coding RNA from Maniola jurtina (meadow brown), 64 nucleotides. RefSeq lists it as uncharacterized. The transcript has 3 exons. The record is from RefSeq and is a predicted model, not a curated record. NCBI's taxonomy places the organism in Eukaryota, Metazoa, Arthropoda, Insecta, Lepidoptera, Nymphalidae.
AAUGAGUUUGAUGGCUUUCAUUCAGUUUUGAUCACUGGGUUAGCAAAUAACCUGCAGGUGAACU